Molecule: ribosomal RNA, 115 nt
Filed under: Pteropus alecto (black flying fox)
Lineage: Eukaryota; Metazoa; Chordata; Mammalia; Chiroptera; Pteropodidae
Source: RNAcentral
GUCUACGGCAUGCCACCCUGAAUAAGCCCGAUGUCUGACCUUGGAAGCUAAGCAGGGUCAGGCCUGGUUAGUGCUUGGAUGGGAGACCACCUAGGAAGACCAGGUGCUGGAGGCA